UGGCACCUAUAGUUGUGGUCAAAGACAAACUCAUUAUUUUCUGUCAUUGGCGACUUAAAACAUCACAUUCAGAUCACUUUUACAAGGAGUUAAUUAAUAUUGAAAAAAAAUUUACUCAACUAUUAUUUUACAGUUUUUACUAAUAAGUAAAUCAAUUACGGAAAGGUAAAUAUAAAGUCAGAGCCUGCCGUGUCAGUGGUAAAUAACCAGUCAAGGAUGUUUCACAUCCCCAUUAGUAAGUAUUAGUUACAUACAUUCAAAAUGCAGGUGAAGAAAAUAGUUGGAUUUAAUAAAUGUUUGGGUCAUUUCAGAAGAGAGGGGCAAAACAUACCAGAGGGACAGUCAAACUCAUAGAUCGAAAUUAAAAUGACAGGGACAUGGCUAAAAACGACAAAGACAAAGAGACAGUUAAUAGUACACAUGACAAAAC
This 430-nucleotide long non-coding RNA is filed under the name Mytilus galloprovincialis (Mediterranean mussel). The record is from RNAcentral. Lineage: Eukaryota; Metazoa; Mollusca; Bivalvia; Mytilida; Mytilidae.